Molecule: unclassified non-coding RNA, 355 nt
Filed under: Hevea brasiliensis (rubber tree)
Lineage: Eukaryota; Viridiplantae; Streptophyta; Magnoliopsida; Malpighiales; Euphorbiaceae
Source: RNAcentral
AGCAGAAAGAGCCUCAUAAUACUUGAAUUCUCCUGGCCCACUCAUUAACAUACCACCUGUAUCGUCAGUUGCCACAUCUGCGAUAUCGCGACCACAGCCCUUUGGCACAUACACAGAUUUGAUAAAAGCCCAUUUUGCUUUUGCAAUGACAAUUGAACCAUCAUUUUUGGGAAAGGAAUAUGACCUAGUACUGCCUUGCAAUUGAGAGUCAACUGGCUACCCACAGCAUGCUUAUACAAGCAUUUAAAAGGCGUAGGUUAUUGAGGUGCAUUUAUGGUCCCAAGUUCAGGUGAUAUUAACUGCCAUGUAAAUAGCUUUUCCCCAGCUUUCCCUAAGUAGGCAAACCCUACUUAUU